AGCAGCCGCGGUAAUUCCAGCUCCAAUAGCGUAUAUUAAAGUUGUUGCAGUUAAAAAGCUCGUAGUUGAAUUUCGAGAUCAAUACGUCGGUCGUGCUUUCGGGUACGUACUGGCGUCAUUGGUUUCUCCUUUCUGACGAACCAUGAUGUCAUUAAUUUGGUGUUAUGGGGAGUUAGGACUGUUACUUUGAAAAAUUAGAGUGUUUAAAGCAGGCAUUAGCUUGAAUACAUUAGCAUGGAAUAAUGAAAUAGGACGUUCGAUCCUAUUUUGUUGGUUUCUAGGAUCAACGUAAUGAUUAAUAGGGAUAGUUGGGGGCAUUAGUAUUCAAUUGUCAGAGGUGAAAUUCUUGGAUUUAUUGAAGACUAACUACUGCGAAAGCAUUUGCCAAGGAUGUUUUCAUUAAUACAAGAACGAAAGUUAGGGGAUCGAAGACGAUCAGAUACCGUCGUAGUCUUAACCAUAAACUAUAGCCGACUAGGGAUCGGAUGAUGUUAAUUUU
This 499-nucleotide ribosomal RNA is filed under the name uncultured Glomus. RNAcentral describes it as "SSU rRNA". It matches the Rfam family "Eukaryotic small subunit ribosomal RNA", at positions 569 to 1070 of the family's 1831-position model. The record is from RNAcentral. Lineage: Eukaryota; Fungi; Glomeromycota; Glomeromycetes; Glomerales; Glomeraceae.